UGCAACGCGAAGAACCUUACCUGGGCUUGACAUCCGGAUCCUGAACAGGAGUGCCUUCGGGAACCUGGAGACAGGUGCUGCAUGGCUGUCGUCAGCUCGUGUCGUGAGAUGUUCGGUUAAGUCCGCUAACGAGCGCAACCCUCGCUGUGUGUUACAAGUGUCACACGGAACUGCCGGUCAUAAACCGGAGGAAGGUGGGAUGACGUCAAGUCAGCAUGGCCUUUAUAUCCUGGGCUACACACACGCUACAAUGGGAAGGGACAAUAGGUUGCGAAGCCGCGAGGCGGAGCCAAUCCAGCAAAACUUCCCUCAGUUCAGAUUGCAGGCUGCAACCCGCCUGCAUGAAGUUGGAGUUGCUAGUAAACGCAGGUCAGCCAUACUGCGUUGAAUACGUUCCCGGGGCUU
Molecule: ribosomal RNA, 405 nt
Filed under: uncultured Anaerolineaceae bacterium
Lineage: Bacteria; Bacillati; Chloroflexota; Anaerolineae; Anaerolineales; Anaerolineaceae
Description: bacterial SSU rRNA
Rfam family: Bacterial small subunit ribosomal RNA
Source: RNAcentral